GACGAACGCUGGCGGCGUGCUUAACACAUGCAAGUCGAACGCUGAAGCUCAGCUUUUGUUGGGUGGAUGAGUGGCGAACGGGUGAGUAACACGUGAGUAACCUGCCUCCUUCUUUGGGAUAACGCCCGGAAACGGGUGCUAAUACUGGAUAUUCACUGGUCUUCGCAUGGGGGUUGGUGGAAAGGGUUUUUCUGGUGGGGGAUGGGCUCGCGGCCUAUCAGCUUGUUGGUGGGGUGAUGGCCUACCAAGGCUUUGACGGGUAGCCGGCCUGAGAGGGUGACCGGGCACAUUGGGACUGAGAUACGGCCUAGACUCCUACGGGAGGCAGCAGUGGGGAAUAUUGCACAAAGGGCGCAAGCCUGAGGCAGCGACGCCGCGUGAGGGAUGGAGGCCUUCGGGUUGUGAACCUCUUUCGCUCAUGGUCAAGCCGCAACAAUGGUUGUGGUGAGGGUAGUGGGUAAAGAAGCGCCGGCUAACUACGUG
This 483-nucleotide ribosomal RNA is filed under the name uncultured bacterium. RNAcentral's name for it is "partial 16S ribosomal RNA". It matches the Rfam family "Bacterial small subunit ribosomal RNA", at positions 28 to 507 of the family's 1533-position model. The record is from RNAcentral.